Dendrobium catenatum is the source of this 816-nucleotide long non-coding RNA. RefSeq lists it as uncharacterized. The transcript is spliced from 6 exons. The record is from RefSeq and is a predicted model, not a curated record. NCBI's taxonomy places the organism in Eukaryota, Viridiplantae, Streptophyta, Magnoliopsida, Asparagales, Orchidaceae.
AAUUACCCGCUGACUUCCCAAGAGUUCGAGGAAUCCGACGUUUGACUAACUGCGUGGGUUCCCGUCUCAAAUCCAAAACAAGAAAGUCCACUUCCACCUCAAACUCAAAAUCCUUACUAUUUUGAACUUUUGAUAUCGCGCCGGCAUUUUGAUUCACAAAUCAUCCCCCAAAAAAGCGGUCCACGCGGAUUUUGGUCUUCUCCAAUCCAAUCAAAUUAUAGUUCCAUAUAAAAAAAGAUCGAAGGUAGAAAAAAGAGAGAAAAAGUCGAGCAGAAGAGCUGGAAAGCGUGUAAGAGCGGGCUCGGGCUUGCAAUCGGGGGCGAUCCAUCUUCGAGAGGCGUCACCUCUUGUGAGGAGUUCCGCUUGAAGCAGGGUAUGCAAGCACUAUUGGAACUUGAGGCCUAUACGCUGACAACUAGGGCGUGUAUCUCCUGAGCAAAAGAUCAUUGAUCUGAAGCCAAAAAUUAGACUGUUUGAGGACUGAUGGAAGCCACAAUUAGAUGGCAAAAUAGCCAAAAUUUUGAAAAACUCCAAUCUCAAAAGACUGAACAAACUCUGCCAUGUUCGUCUACAUGUGGAAGAAUGAAUCAGUCCAAUCAUACAGGCAGAUUUAUUCACUUGGCUUAUUUUUUGAUCUAAUUGAUCCUUGUUCAGUUCCAACCACUCCAUCAGGUGAAAUUGGGCUCAGACAGCUCCAUUCAACCAAUGUAUUCUACUAUUGGUAGUCAUAGAACAAACACUUCAUACCCAACUUUAGAGACUAUGCUAUUGCUUUCUAUCCUCAAAGCAUCUAUUUGAUUUCCAAAUUCAAAUGUA